This 497-nucleotide ribosomal RNA is filed under the name uncultured bacterium. Its description in RNAcentral is "partial 16S ribosomal RNA". It matches the Rfam family "Bacterial small subunit ribosomal RNA", at positions 28 to 507 of the family's 1533-position model. The record is from RNAcentral.
GAUGAACGCUGGCGGCGUGCCUAAUACAUGCAAGUCGAGCGAACAGACGAGGAGCUUGCUCCUCUGACGUUAGCGGCGGACGGGUGAGUAACACGUGGAUAACCUACCUAUAAGACUGGGAUAACUUCGGGAAACCGGAGCUAAUACCGGAUAAUAUAUUGAACCGCAUGGUUCAAUAGUGAAAGACGGUUUUGCUGUCACUUAUAGAUGGAUCCGCGCCGCAUUAGCUAGUUGGUAAGGUAACAGCUUACCAAGGCAACGAUGCGUAGCCGACCUGAGAGGGUGAUCGGCCACACUGGAACUGAGACACGGUCCAGACCCCUACGGGAGGCAGCAGUAGGGAAUCUUCCGCAAUGGGCGAAAGCCUGACGGAGCAACGCCGCGUGAGUGAUGAAGGCCUUCGGAUCGUAAAACUCUGUUAUUAGGGAAGAACAAAUGUGUAAGUAACUAUGCACGUCUUGACGGUACCUAAUCAGAAAGCCACGGCUAACUACGUG